AUCCACGUUGCCUCACGAAAUGAAGGAGAAAAAAAAAAAAACAACAAAAAAGCACAAGACCCUUCGGAGCGGCAAACCGGAGGGUUGUUGAGGUCCCUGGGUGUUGAUCUUCCGGAGCAACCACACCAAAAAUACACAGAUAUUCACGAUGUAUUAACGGCAACAACAACAAGGCAUGGAAGCCCCGGGGCGACGCUGUCUCCGGGGCGGCGGGGCGGGCUCGGGGCGGCGGGCGGGGGGCGCCGCCGUCUCCCCUCAGCGCUGGCUGCGGUGAUACAUCGUGCACAGGAGCCGCAAACACGAGGCACAUCGGGGCUGGCAGUCGGCAUCUUCAACCUCCAUUUUCAAACACCGCACACACGCACACACACAGAGACACAAAAACUGGGAGGGCCGCGGAGGGAGGGGAAGGGGGGGGCGCGACCCAGACAAUCCUAUUACAAAACAACAACAGCUCCGCCGUCCCCCCGCGCGGGGACGGGGCUGCCCCGGCGGGAUCCCCGCGGCUCCGCUCCCCGCUCCGCUGGGGAGGGUUGGGGGGACACCCCACGCACAACCACCACCCACAACAACACCGCCGCCGACACCACGAGUCCGGCUGCCUGCAGAGGCUCGAAAUGCAGAAUUUGGGUCGAAAAUGAAUUAAAAAGGCUUCCCCCCUAUUCCUCUUCUUCCUCUCCUCGGCGCGGCUGCCACAAGCUCCUUCUCAAUAAAAAAAAUUUAAAAAAAAAAAAAAAAAAAAAAGGAAAAAAAAAAAAAGCCGAAUCCAGGACACACACACAAAGCAGCAGCAGCAGCAGCGGCAGCAGCAGCAGCAGCAGCGGGGCGAGCGGAGCGCUCAGCACCCCGCCUCCUCCCCCCGCAGCUCUCCUCUUCGCAUCCCUCCGAGCCGCCUUGCCAUCGCGGCGGGGGCGGGGGGGAGGAGGAGGACGACGACAACAACAACAACAACAACAACAAAAACCACCCAGCGAAUUUGUAAAUCCUUUUCCUUUUUUUUUUUUUUUUUUUUCCUUUCCUCCCUUUCCUCCUCUUUUCCCUCCUCCUCUGGGUGCGCGCGCGCUGCGAACCUUCCCCCGGCGCUGCCCAGCCCAAGGCAGGGGGAGGGGGAUCCGGGAGAGGUGUGUGUAUGUGAGAGUGUGUGUGUGUGUGUGCGAGUGUGAGCAGGGGGGCUGCGGGGGGCGAGGAAGGCGAUCCGGUUUGCUGAAGGUCAAACCCCAGGAGCUUGUUGCGAAGGGUCUGUAA
This 1245-nucleotide long non-coding RNA is filed under the name Parus major (Great Tit). RNAcentral describes it as "lncRNA (ENSPMJG00000009715.1)". The record is from RNAcentral. Lineage: Eukaryota; Metazoa; Chordata; Aves; Passeriformes; Paridae.